RNAcentral lists this ribosomal RNA (468 nucleotides) under uncultured bacterium. Its description in RNAcentral is "partial 16S ribosomal RNA". It matches the Rfam family "Bacterial small subunit ribosomal RNA", at positions 28 to 507 of the family's 1533-position model. The record is from RNAcentral.
GACGAACGCUGGCGGCGUGCUUAACACAUGCAAGUCGAACGGAAAGUCCCUGCUUGUGUGGGGUGCUCGAGUGGCGAACGGGUGAGUAACACGUGAGUAACCUGCCCUUGACUUUGGGAUAACGUCAGGAAACUCGGGCGAAUACCGGAUAUGAGCUCCUGCUGCAUGGUGUGGGUUGGAAAGGUUCGGCGGUUGGGGAUUGACUCGCGGCUUAUCAGCUUGUUGGUGGGGUAGUGGCAUACCAAGGCUUUGACGGGUAGCCGGCCUGAGAGGGUGACCGGCCACAUUGGGACUGAGAUAGGGACCAGACUCCUACGGGAGGCAGCAGUGGGGAAUAUUGCACAAUGGGCGGGAGCCUGAGGCAGCAACGCCGCGUGCGGGAUGCCGGCCUUCGGGUUGUAAACCGCUUUCGCCUGUGACGAAGCGUGAGUGACGGUAAUGGGUAAAGAAGCACCGGCUAACUACGUG